This 472-nucleotide ribosomal RNA is filed under the name uncultured bacterium. RNAcentral's name for it is "partial 16S ribosomal RNA". It matches the Rfam family "Bacterial small subunit ribosomal RNA", at positions 28 to 507 of the family's 1533-position model. The record is from RNAcentral.
GACGAACGCUGGCGGCGUGCUUAACACAUGCAAGUCGAACGAUGAACCCGGAGCUUGCUCUGGGGGAUUAGUGGCGAACGGGUGAGUAACACGUGAGUAACCUGCCCUGGACUCUGGGAUAAGCGUUGGAAACGACGUCUAAUACCGGAUAGGACCUUGGAUCGCAUGAUCUGGGGUGGAAAGUUUUUUCGGUCUGGGAUGGACUCGCGGCCUAUCAGCUUGUUGGUGAGGUAAUGGCUCACCAAGGCGUCGACGGGUAGCCGGCCUGAGAGGGUGACCAGCCACACUGGGACUGAGACACGGCCCAGACUCCUACGGGAGGCAGCAGUGGGGAAUAUUGCACAAUGGGCGAAAGCCUGAUGCAGCAACGCCGCGUGCGGGAUGACGGCCUUCGGGUUGUAAACCGCUUUUAGUAGGGAAGAAGGGCUUCGGCUUGACGGUACCUGCAGAAAAAGGACCGGCUAACUACGUG